AUGGAAACAAAGGAAAGAUUAAAUCUUUUAGCAGCCAGUUAUACAGACAAAUUCAUAAUGAGAUUAAACAAAACAGCUCCUCUACCUUAUGCUUGGCUGAUUUCUAAGGUCUCGAGGAUGAUUCAGGCUCUGAAGGCUCGUGCCGACCCAUUUAAGGCAGCCUGCAGGGCAUCCAGCUCACACCAGAACAAAACCGAGACUCCGGAAAAGCACAAGUGGAGCACCGGAGACCGGAGCCUUGUUCCCAACAGCGGUGUGACCUUUCUUUACUUGGUUGUUCCGCUUCCUCUUAUAAUACCCAGUCAGUUAAUCAUGAGCGCACCUGCGCUGGAUUAACGUACCACAGUCUUUCCAAAAGACUUCACACAGCCGGUUGGGCGAAAUGUGAUGUGGCAGGCCAAAAACAGGGUUUCUGCACAUGCACAGAAGUUAAGCGCCAUUUGAAAGUAGCUCUAAGAGUGAAAAAACAACAGUAUAAUGUGCGGUAUGUUCCAGGGCUGCUGUCCAGCUCUGUCUCCUUAAAUCAUUUAGUAUCGCUCCCUGGUUUGGUGCCCCUGAGAGUGAGCAAACACCUUUGGGUGUGUUCGAGCAUGUUAGUGCAUUCAUGUGCAGACACAGUAACUGCAAGUUGCUGGGUUUGUAGCCAUGUGCUUCUCCUCGCGUUCCCGCUCCUCAAACCUUGGACCACUCUGAGCGAAUGUGAGUCACCGUUGUGACGAGAUGCGAUGUGUCACCUGGGAGACACACGCAGGCGAACAAGACAGACACUAGCUGUUCACUUGGCGCAGGUCCACACGCACACUCGCAGAUACACACCAGCUUUUAAAAUGGCUGGUGAUGGAUGGUUGUUUCUUUAAAACAGCUGGAAAGAAGCAAGGGGAGUGGGAGUCAGGGAGGCAGUUGGGAAUGUCUAUUUCUGUAUGCUACCCACUGGCACCACUACAUUAACUCCUUAAUUGAAAUCCUCACUCUGGAUUUAUUUUCUUUUUUUAGGUAGCUGACUCAGAGAUCAAG
This 1014-nucleotide long non-coding RNA is filed under the name Oreochromis niloticus (Nile tilapia). RNAcentral's name for it is "lncRNA (ENSONIG00000042844.1)". Lineage: Eukaryota; Metazoa; Chordata; Actinopteri; Cichliformes; Cichlidae. The record is from RNAcentral.